UAACGCCGCGUGGAGGAUGACGGCCUUCGGGUUGUAAACUCCUUUUCUGCGGGAAGAGUAGAAGACGGUACCGCAGGAAGAAGCCUCGGCUAACUACGUGC
This 101-nucleotide ribosomal RNA is filed under the name uncultured bacterium. RNAcentral's name for it is "partial 16S ribosomal RNA". It matches the Rfam family "Bacterial small subunit ribosomal RNA", at positions 392 to 508 of the family's 1533-position model. The record is from RNAcentral.